CAGUAGCCGCGGUAAUACGUAGGUCCCGAGCGUUAUCCGGAUUUAUUGGGCGUAAAGCGAGCGCAGGCGGUUAGAUAAGUCUGAAGUUAAAGGCUGUGGCUUAACCAUAGUACGCUUUGGAAACUGUUUAACUUGAGUGCAGAAGGGGAGAGUGGAAUUCCAUGUGUAGCGGUGAAAUGCGUAGAUAUAUGGAGGAACACCGGUGGCGAAAGCGGCUCUCUGGUCUGUAACUGACGCUGAGGCUCGAAAGCGUGGGGAGCAAACAGGAUUAGAUACCCCUGUAGUCCCUGUCUCUUAUACA
RNAcentral lists this ribosomal RNA (301 nucleotides) under uncultured bacterium. Its description in RNAcentral is "partial 16S ribosomal RNA". It matches the Rfam family "Bacterial small subunit ribosomal RNA", at positions 509 to 808 of the family's 1533-position model. The record is from RNAcentral.